This 402-nucleotide ribosomal RNA is filed under the name uncultured bacterium. RNAcentral's name for it is "bacterial SSU rRNA". It matches the Rfam family "Bacterial small subunit ribosomal RNA", at positions 355 to 774 of the family's 1533-position model. The record is from RNAcentral.
UCGGGAAUAUUGCGCAAUGGAGGAAACUCUGACGCAGUGACGCCGCGUAUAGGAAGAAGGUUUUCGGAUUGUAAACUAUUUUAGACAGGGAAGAAAAAAGACAGUACCUGUAAAAUAAGCUCCGGCUAACUACGUGCCAGCAGCCGCGGUAAUACGUAGGGAGCAAGCGUUAUCCGGAUUUAUUGGGUUUAAAGGGUGCGUAGGCGGCACCGUAAGUUAGUGGUUAAAUCGUUCGGCUCAACCGGAUGUUGCCAUUAAAACUGCGGAGCUAGAGUACAGAUGAGGUAGGCGGAAUAAGUUAAGUAGCGGUGAAAUGCAUAGAUAUUAGGAGGAACACCAGUGGCGAAGGCGGCUUACUGGACUGUAACUGACACUGAGGUACGAAAGCGUGGGGAGCAAACA